UGGUGUCGGCCUAUUUACACAGUGGGUCAUUGUGUCAAAUGUGUCUCACAAAUGACAUAUUUUAGGUCCCAGGGAUCUCGGAGCAUUGGGUUUUGUGAAUAUUACUAUGAUUUCACUUAGAGUUGAAGCGGACAAUUAGUUUCCACUCACAAGUUUCUACAUCCAUGUCGGCGAGAUUAGGCGUGAGAAAGUGUGUGGAUAUGACUGCUGAUUGAAAGAUAAAGGACAGGGAGGAGGUGAUUUAGUGUGUGUGCACGCGUGCCUGUGGAAAAAACCAGCAGGUAUUCACAGCUCCUAGCGUUUUUUCUUCCCGCCUUCUUUUUGUUGUACAGUAUGGUCUCUCGCUGGAAGAGGAACUUCACAAACCCACGGCACACCGACACCUGGACAAUCCCACAACAAAAAAUUCCACUGGCAACAUUUUAGGAUACAGCAGCGUACUUCUAUGCUUCUUCCUCCUUCCAUUGAAUCUUUCAUCUAAGAUGAUCACCCCUCACUUUGGUCCCAGAACAAUAGACAACAUGCUCGCCUGCAGACAGUCUCGUUGCAACAGCCAUGGUACCUGUGUUACUCCUCCGGGGUCUGGUACAACUCUAAUAUGCAACUGUGAUCUGGGCUACAAAGGUGACUCCUGCAUGGACAAGGUCAGUGAGGCAAUAAGCAUACCUUUGACCCUGAGCGUGUUUGUUGCCCUCAUUGGCCUGGUGAUCCUGGCUGUCAUUGCUGCCAAGUUCCGGCGGAGACGGUGGAAGAAGCAAAGGAAACUACUGGAACAAAAUGCCGACGACAACACUCCAUGAUGUGGAUAGCUGUCAAAUAGAUCUAUUUUGAUGUACUUUGGAGUUUGAAUUGUGAUUACUACUGUACAACUUACACUGCAGCAUCCCAGAGAGUCAAACACUAACUUCACAAACUGGAGUCCAAAGGCAUAUAUAUCCAGGCAUUGACUCUGGGAUGUUGCAGUGCAAGAGUUUGAAUGUGCAGUGCAAAUGUCUGUAUUCUAAUCAACAUCUGCUUCCUUGAUCCCUUUUUUGAAUGCUAGAGCAUGCUUCUGUAAGUAUUAUAAACUGACACUUGCUGUAUUUAGUAAAAUAAUGCAAAUGUUCACUCAUCAGUUACUCUCUCCAAAGGAGCUGAAGCUUAGUUUAAGUAAAGCAAAGGGGGUUGCUAUAUUGAUAGUGAAGGCUUCUUACAGCCAUGACAUUCAAGGUGACUUUAGAGAUUUAAACACACAUCAGUUUUGUAUCAGAUAGGGCAGAAGUCGAUUUGGGUUCGGGGAGUGUCCAGUCCCUAUGUCUGAUGUCAUUUCCGGGUCCAAAUACUCCUAAAUAAACAGCAAUGGCAUAACCAAUGACUGUUCACCAUUAAAGAUGAUUGUAACAUACCUUAUCAACUGCAGCCAUUUCCGUUUGACUUUCUCAUCGAUAAAAUGACAGCUUGAGUGAAAAUUAUUUUGAAAGUACCUCUAUGUGUAUAAUGAACAAUGAAUUGAAUGUAUAAUGAAUUAUAGGCCUCAGCUCCAAAGGGUUUCUGGGAUAUGGCCCUCCAAACAUUGGGUGCCAUACCCUAUAUUUGACCUCGUGAAUCAUUGUGGUGUCUGUACUACCAUGCUAAAGUCUGUGUUAAAUGCAUGUAUUGUCUCUUCUUCCUUAAGGGUUCAUGCAAAGGAAAUUUGAUUUCAACAUCCUGCACAAAGAGGCCCCCUUUGCAGGCUCUCUUGCUCCCAUAUAAGGAAUUGUCUAUAUGUCCACUAUAGGUUAGGGGGUUGAAGCUGUUUUCAUAGCCAUAUAUGGAAAGUCAGGAUGUGGGGGUUUGCCAACACUAUGGUGUAUAUAAUCUGUGUGAUCCCUUUGUUUAGUGAGUUAGGAAGAUUGGGCCUCCUCUCCCAGGUGGCAAGAAGCGCCUGUUUUGAUAUUGUCUUU
Molecule: long non-coding RNA, 1922 nt
Organism: Archocentrus centrarchus (flier cichlid)
Lineage: Eukaryota; Metazoa; Chordata; Actinopteri; Cichliformes; Cichlidae
Exons: 3
Source: RefSeq, a predicted model, not a curated record